CAGUCGCCGCGGGAAUACGGAGGGUGCAAGCGUUAAUCGGAAUUACUGGGCGUAAAGCGCACGCAGGCGGUCUGUCAAGUCAGAUGUGAAAUCCCCGGGCUUAACCUGGGAACUGCAUUUGAAACUGGCAGGCUAGAGUCUUGUAGAGGGGGGUAGAAUUCCAGGUGUAGCGGUGAAAUGCGUAGAGAUCUGGAGGAAUACCGGUGGCGAAGGCGGCCCCCUGGACAAAGACUGACGAUCAGGUGCGAAAGCGUGGGGAGCAAACAGGAUUAGAUACCCGUGUAGUCCCUGUCUCUUAUAC
RNAcentral lists this ribosomal RNA (301 nucleotides) under uncultured bacterium. RNAcentral describes it as "partial 16S ribosomal RNA". It matches the Rfam family "Bacterial small subunit ribosomal RNA", at positions 509 to 807 of the family's 1533-position model. The record is from RNAcentral.